RNAcentral lists this long non-coding RNA (18491 nucleotides) under Gossypium raimondii (Peruvian cotton). RNAcentral describes it as "long non-coding RNA (GRAI_LNC000948)". The record is from RNAcentral. Lineage: Eukaryota; Viridiplantae; Streptophyta; Magnoliopsida; Malvales; Malvaceae.
UCCUGCCCAUGUUACCGUAUAGCCUGCUAUGAGACUAUAUAUGAGAAUAUAAAAGUUGAGUAAGCACUCUGCGGUUUUAUGUACGAUAAGUUUGUUCCUUGUUGAUAAAUAAAUGAGUGUUGGAACAAGCUGAGCAAAAUGAACACCUUUGGUUCAUCUGUGAUGGCAUCCUUUGUCAAAUAAUAGUGGUUUUAAUUCUUCAGCAAUUUAUUUCUGAUUUCCAAGAAGUUGCCAGUUGAACCAUUUUAUAUUACAAUCUCAUUUUGCAAUCAUUCUCAACUAGAAUCCAUAACAAUUUUUAUCUAAUAAUAAUAAUAAUAAUAAUUGAAACGGUUUAAAAUUGAUUUGAUUUAUGAUUGUUUGAAUCGGAUUGAUAUUGAUUGAUUCGAGAAUCAAUAAGGAUUGAAUUUGUACAAGUUUCAUUAUUAAUUAUUUUAUGUGUUAUUUAAUUGAAUUAAACAGACUAAUAUUAAUUGAAUUGGUAACCUGAUUAAUUUAAUUAUUGAUUCGGUUUUAAAAAGUUUGGUUUGGGUUUAAAGCAGGUUUCAAACACGGAAGGGAGUUCGGCAAAAAUAAGAAAUUAUAAAUUAUGUUCAUAUAAGCAUUUUGUUUCUUAGCACUUAAAAGUAAAUGGGCUACAAGUUACUAGAAGUUCAAAACCUAGAAAUAUCAAUUGUUAUCAUCUCUUCCAGCUUCCCUAUUUGCUUCCAGUUUAGCUCUCUUUGCUUGUUUCGUUGCUUUUGACUCAUCACCCUGGUCAUGCAUGGUUUUCGAAUCUUCUCUCGAUAUCUCAGCUCUACGUGCAGAGUGCGUCUGUUAAGAAGUAUAUCCAUAAUCACCCGAAAGUGAAGGACCUAAUUCGAUACUUGGAAACCAUUCAUGUUUUUCUUUUACAUCUUGCAAUGUGCCUUUACUAUCAUCUUGUUUAGGAGAUCGACAACUUGGAAGAAAUCAUAGUGUAUAUCCCAGAAGAAUUCCAUCACAAAUUAAAUGUUCUUGAACAACAUCGCCUUGGUGUCAAUUCAUAUCGACACAUUUCACACAAAGACAUAAGAUCUUGUUGUCUUGGCAUCUUUUACUAAAAGCAAAAUUCAAAAAAAACUUCAUACACCAUCGUAGCCUUCACUUUUGCAUCCGACUUUUAUCAAUUUCAAACCUAGAAAGCUUUAAUUAUAAAAUAAUAUAAUGCAGAUAUAUUAUUAAAAUUUAACAUAAUGUAAAACUAAACAUUAUUCAAAUUAACUAAGUAUCUCUCUUAUAAUAUUAUUUUUUUAAUUCGGGACUUGAUUGUAAGUUACCACUAUGUUGGCCACUAGUUGAUAUCAUAUUAAUGAUAAGUUAGAUUUUUCUCAAUAUAAUAAAUUUUAAAAACUAUUGUUAAACCAAAAAUCCAUGGGAUAAUUACGGAUUUGCAUUUUACUUAAAAACUUUGCAAAUGGCUCGUUAAUAUUUCAAUGGGCAGCCGCAAUCCCUUUUCACUGCAGUCAUUCCCCUUAAAUUUUUAUGUUCCUAACAAAGCUAUUGCAAGCUUCAAAUGAAAAUUAAUAAAAUAAUCUGAAACAAAGUAACUAGCUCGAAAUAAAAAUCUUCACAGAUUUGAGAGUUUUUUCAGAUAUUUAGCGACGGUUGUACUUACAAAUGCCGCUAAAUCUAUGACCAAAACUACCACACAAAUAUAUAGCGGCAUUUUACAUUAUAAAACGCCACUGUUAUUUUUCGUCGCUAAAUCUCAAACUUUUAUUAAACAAAAGUUAAAUAAUAAUAAUAAUAAUAAUAAUAAUAAUAAUAAUAAUAAAAGAUGGUAUCAAGUAUCAAUACAAUUUUAAAGGAAAAAACUGAUUCACCCAUUCCCAAACUUGAUUUUAAAAACCACAACCACUCUUGUAAAAUCUCUUAUAAAAUCGGGAUAUAUUAAGAUCUGAUGGGUUUAAUAUUUUUCCACUCUUCUUUUCAAAAACAUAGCACAAUUACUAACAACAUUUUUGUUAAGUAUGACUCCUAUUUUCAGUCAAAUUUGAGAAAUAAUCUUUUAGUUAAACUCUAUUUAUUUGUUUCAGUCAAACACUGAUUAGUUUAGAUUAAUUUAUUAUUAUUUGACAUAUGAAUUUAGCCUAUAAAUAGGCUUUUUUACAAUCUUAGUAAAUACACCCAUUAGAUAUUAGAACUCAUAACACAUUUAGAGAAUUUUGUGUUUACGUUUUGAGGGUUCUUUGUUUUCAGAUUUUCGGGGUUUAGUUUUUUCUCUUCAUUUUUUUGCCAUUAUAAUAAAAUUAUCUUUGCCCGUGGUUUUUUAUCAUCUUUGGAGGAGUUUUUCCACAUUAAAUUUGUGUGUUCAAUUUCUCAAUUUAUUCCGCUAUUUUUACUUGUUGCUUAAUCGGGACGAUUCUAACAAGUGGUAUCAGAGCUAGUUCAAAGAUCAGCCUAUUCAGAUAUGACAACAAGGUUUGAAAUUGAGAAGUUCGAUGGUGAGACAAAUUUCAAUCUGUGGCAAGUUCAGAUGAUGACAAUUCUAGUUCAAUCCGGUUUGAAAAAGGUUGUUACCGGGAAAAGUCUGAGAAUCUAAAUGAAACAGAAUGGGAAGAGCUUGAUGAAAAGGCCUUGUCUGCAAUCCAGUUGUGCCUCACGAAUACGGUAUUGCAGGAGGUAUUAAUGGAGAAGACUUCAUCCGCCUUGUGGAAAAGGUUAGAAACUCUUUAUGCGACUAAGUCUCUGGCUAACCGUUUAGUGUUGAAACAACGUCUAUUUACGUUUCGCAUGAACGAAUGUGAGCUUCUUAGAGAUCACAUCAGUCAAUUCAUUACUCUUUUAAAUGAUUUAAAGAACGUUGAGGUUCAUAUUGAUGAUGAAGAUCAAGCUAUGCUAUUAUUGUGCUCUUUACCCCCUGCAUACAAGUCUUUCAGGGAGACCCUGAUUUAUGGCAGAGACAAACUCUCGUUCGAAGAUGUAAAGGGUCAUUUGUUGAGUAGAGACAAACUCGACAAUGAGCUUCAUUUCGAUAGCAAGGUAGAUAGGCAAUCUUCCGUUUUGAUAUCAUCAAAGAAAAGAGACAAAAGGUGUCGCUAUUGUAAAAAGUUAGGUCACAUCAAAGUAGAUUGUUAUAAACUGCGAAAUAAAAGAGCUGCUGAGAGUAACGAGGAAGAUGUAGAUGGUGCUAAUUUGAUCGAUAAAAGCGGUGAUGAUUUCUUGUUAGUGUCAACGAGCGAUAACUCCAAGCUCACGUCCGAGUGGAUCCUAGAUUCGGGAUGUUCUUUCCACAUGUGUCCCAAUAGAGAAUGGUUCUCUACAUACAGUUCGGUUGAAGGUGGAGUUGUGCGCAUGGGAAACGAUUCAUCUAGUAAGGUAAUUGGUAUUGGUACUGUUAAAAUUAGGAUACACGAUGGAACGAUUAGGACACUCUCAGAUGUCAGGUAUGUACCUGAUUUACGAAAGAAUCUCAUCUCCUUGAGUAUUUUAGACUUGAAAGGAUGCAGAAUCAACAUCGAGUCAAGCGGCAUUAAAGUAUCUCGUGGAGCUCUCGUUUUGUUAAAAGGUAAAAGAACUGGCAGUCUUUAUAUUCUGGAAGGUUCUACAGUGACCGGUGAAAUCAGACGUCCCUCGUCCGUUACAGAGUCAAAGUCAACUCGUUUGGAGCGGAGGCAACUUGGUCAUAGGAGGGAAAAAUGUAUGACUGUUUCGUUGAAGAGAGGUUCUCUUUUGGAUGCAGAUUUUGAAAAGUUAGGGCACUGUGUUCGUGAAAAUCAGACCUGGGUUAGUUUUGAUUUGACAGUGUCCAAGUCGAAGGCUAGAAGUCUUCCAAUUUCUAAGCACAGAUUCGACUCAGUUAAUUCCCUGCAUAGUUCAAGAUAGGCUCGUGGCGGGCUUUGGCAAAGAUGGCGUUGUGGAAAUAUGAGUCAAGGUGGAGAUUUGUUAAGUAUGACUCCUAUUUUUAGUCAAAUUUGAGAAAUAAUCUUUUAGUUAAACUUUGUUUAUUUGUUUCAGUCAAUCACUGAUUAGUUUAGAUUAUUUUAUUAUUAUUUGACAUAUGAAUUUAGCCUAUAAAUAGGCUCUUUUACAACCUUAGUAAAUACACCCAUUAGAUAUUAGAACUCAUAACACAUUUAGAGAAUUUUGUGUUUACGUUUUGAGGGAAUUUUGUGUUUACGUUUUGAGGGUUCUUUGUUUUCGGGUUUUCGGGGUUUAGUUUUUUAUCUCCAUCUUUUGUACUUUUCAUUCUUUUGCCAUUAUAAUAAAAUUAUCUUUGCCCGUGAUUUUUUAUCCUCUUUGGAGGAGUUUUUUCACGUUAAAUUUGUGUGUUCAAUUUCUCAAUUUAUUCCGUUAUUUUUACUUGUUGCUUAAUCGGGACGAUCCUAACAAUUUUAAAAACAAACAUUGUUAAUAAAAAAUCACAGAAUCACAAGAUUAAGAAAUUGAUAUAUAUAUAUUUUAUCCAUAAAAUUUUUAUGGUGAACAUGUUCACAACACAAAAGGGAUACAUUCAUGUUCUACAAAACUAAAUUUAUUCAAAUAUAUAAAAACACACUUUUAUAUCUACAAAUAUAGUACAAUCAUAAGUACAUGUCGGAACUGGUCACUUGUAAACUGAAAUUAUAACUAAUAUUUAUUAAUAUAUAAUUUAGCUUAAUGUUAUGAAUGAAAUCAAAACAUUGGCAUUGAACUCACAUAUGUAUAGCAUUUUAAUAUAUAUAUAUAUAUAUAUGUAUAUUGUAAGUGUAAUUUAACAAUGUUUUCUUGAAACAUUAACGUAGAAACCAUCUGGAAAUCCCAGAAUGGGUGCACGAACUAUGUUCCCUCCCUUGACUUUUGUGAACCUGUUCGAUAAAUUUUGCAAAACAUUUUUGGUUUAGAUUCUUUGGAUUAAAUUAUUAAAAUAUAUAUAUACACAAAAUAAUGAAAAAAUAUACCUGAAUUUGGUGACCCAGACAUGUAAAAAGACAGCCAUUAGAACCUUGCUGAACUCUGCACCCGCACACGGCCUAUCCCCUCCUCCAAAUGGCAUGAAGUUCUUUGCCAUUCCAUUGCUCCCAAUGUUCUUUAUUCAUUUUAUUAUUUUUAAAAAUAUCAUAAUAAAUGAAAAAUUAUAAUUAAUGGCUCCAAAAGUUUUAUUUAAGAUUUAAUCCAUGGGAAAGAGUAUAAUUAUACCUUCCAUCUUGAAGGGUUGAAGGUAAGAGGAUCUUCAUAUAUAUUAGGGUUCAGAUGAAGAGCUGUGGGCAUAACCAAUAGGAUCCAACCUUUUGGUAUUGUAUAUCCUGCAAUAUUUAUAUUUUUAAUUUUAUUAUUUAAAGGAUGAAUCACACUUGUUUAUAAUAUAUUCAAAUAAAUUGUUAAUAAUAUAUAUAUACGUAUACAUAUUGUUAUCUACCAUCGACGUGAAUGUCAGCUAUAACUUUCCUCAACAUCCCAGGAAGAACAUUUUCUAGCCUAAGUGUUUCAUUAAUCACCUGAAAAUAGCAAAAAAAAAAAAAAAACAUGAACAAACAAUGGGCUAAAUUUAUUUAUUAAAAAAGUUGGCAUAAUCAAUCAAUUAACUCACGUAACGAGUGAACGUCAUGGAUUUGUAUUCCUCCCAUACAAGUCCAGAAUUGGCAUCUUCUCUGUUCUUUAGAAUUUCCUCAUGCUCCUCCUGGUUCAUUUCUUAAAAACUAACAUAUUAAUAUACAAACUUUUUCAAAGAAAUUUUUUCUCAUUUUAUCCCAACAUACAAUCUCAAUCAAUUAGUACGUGACACAUAGCAUGUUCUUACCGAAUGUUGUACAAAUAAAUUAAGAUGAAAUUGAAGAUACCAUUUAAAAAAAAAAACUUUCUAAAUAACUAAGUGAGAAAAACGAUAUUGAUUGGGGCUAAUUUUAUAAUUAAGACCUACAACAAUUGCCUAUAUUCAUGUACUAUCAUAUAAAAUCCGAAUAUAUAACAUAACCCCAAAACUCAGGUUAUAUUAUUAAAAAUUAAUAAAUAAGCCCUCCAAUUAUCUAAAAUAUUCACCUAGCAAAAAGAAAUAUAAAUGCUUAAGUAUAUAUUAAUUUAAUUAAAAGCAAUAAUAGUAAGUUAAAAGCAUAUAAAGGAAGGAACGAACUGUUAAUUGUUGCAAAGCCGAUGGGUUGUCCAGUAGAUACAUGGUGGCCAAAGUGACAGUGGGUGAAAUCGUCUCGACAGUAGCAAGGAGUAGCCCAAACAGAAGGUAAGGCACGAAUUCCUUCGUCAAAAAUGCUUCUUUCCCAAUGUCUCCUAUUACUUCAUCCAAAAAAUCUCCCUUUUUAUUGCAACCUUCUGCUGAAUUAUCAUAAGAGUACCCCUUCAUCCUCUCUUCUAAAACCCAAGUCGUCAGCUUUAUUGCUUUUCUUUUCUUCUGCAGUCAAAUAUAUAUAUUUAUUAGUGUUUACCUAGAAGGAUUCAUGAUGAUAUUCAUAUUUAAUGGUAUGUUUUUACCUGUAUACAUUUGUAGAAAGCGGUCCCAGGAAUAUAUAAAGGAAAUGUCAUAAUUGAUUGCAACAUGUUGUUUAAAUCUUCACCUAAAUUUUUUUCUGGUUUAUAACUCAUCAGGAUCUGUGAGGUUAAAUCAAAUAACAUCUGCAAAUACCCAAACCAACAAUCUAUAUUUAUCUUUACUACAAUAUUUCAUUCUUGGAUCAUCUGGUUAUCCAUAUGCCAUAAUUACUUACGGGAACAGUUUGGAGUUUUACAUCGACCUCUGGCAGAUUGGUCCACUUAUGUACUUCAUGGUUUAUUACAUCCUCAAGCUCAGACAACAGCUUACGUUUGAGUGGCUCAUGUCCGAAAUGACGGAGAAUGGAGCGCCGUAGAUACCUCUGGAAGUAGCCACCUAGAUUACUCAAGUUAUCGUUGUGUACCGUCUGUGAAAAGGAAUCCAUGUAAUAGAGUUCGAUGAGUUUCCCCUCUUGUUGCAACACGAAGUAGUUGAAUUCGGGAUCUGAUGACACCGCCACCGGUCGACCCGCUAUGUUUGUCUUGAACAACGGACCGUAUCUAAAACCAUAUUUGAAAAAAUGAGAUACUUACUGCACUGACCGGGAAUAAUUGUAGGGUUAUUUUAUUACCUUUUCAAUCUUUCAUUAACGAAAGGAUGCAUGUCAAUGGAGUUGGAAGUGACAAAGAAGCUAAGGGUCUCUCCUAUAAGAGGGAAUCCCAUGGAACCAGGAGGGAGUUUGCCCUUGCAUUUAGGGUUCCUCCACCUAUAAAUCCAGUUGCCUACACUUACACUCAAAAAAGAUAUUAUGAAAACCCAAACAUACCAUAUUUCCAUUAUCAUUGCACCAACAAUGAAAUGGAUAAGGAGUUUGAAAAGUAGAAUUUGAUUUCUUUCUUUAACGUUGCUCCCUUAUAUAGAAGCUUUAUGAUAUUGUUUGAUUUGAAAUAUUCAAUAGUCAAUUGGAUAAUAAAUAUUAAUUCGAUGUUUUUAUCUUUUCAAUUUUUUAAUAAAAUAAUAUGAUGAUGAGCUUUUAACUUUAGUUUUAUAAUAGAAUUUUUUUUCAUUCACUCGUGAAUGUGUCAUAACUUAGUAUAAGAUAAUGCUGUUAAUUGAGUUUAUGUCACAAGUCAACUUGACAUAUUAUAUAUGUGCUAUUAUUAAUAGUUUCAAAUUAUACGUUUCAUUAUUUAAUAGAUGUUAUGUUUAAAUGCACACGUGUUCCAAAUACAUGGUUUUUACACGAAUACUCAUAUAAUAAAAUUACUAAUAUGUAUAUAAGAGUUUAAAUUAUAUUAACAAGAUUUAAAAUAAGUAUUGUUUUAACAAAAUAUUGUUUUUAAAUAUUUAUUAAAUAAAAUAAAAUAUUUAUAUUCAAUUCAUUGUGAGAUUCAACUUUAUCAUCAAACCAAUGUCUCACUCACAAAACCUAAUAAGGGUUAAAGAGCGAUUAUGUAUGUAAGAUGUUAUUUAUGACACUAUAAAAAAAUUUGUAUAAUAUGAUAUGAAUUGUAAAUUAAACAUAAAAAUUUAAUAUAAGUUGUUGGUAACCUUUUGGCCUAGUGUAGGGGCGAAGUCAGAAAUUUUUUUUUAGGGGGGGCCGAAAUUAGAUUGUAAUUUUUACGAUAGUAAAAGUACAAUUUCACCAUUUUAAUAGCUUCUAUCUUUAUAAUUUUAAAGGAUUAAAUCAAAAUUUUAUCAUUUUAGGAAAGCCAAAGUGUAAUUUUACCUUUACUAAUUUAAAAUUUUAAAAAUUUCAAAGGGCCUAAAUGAAAAUUUUUACAUUUUAGGGGGACCGGUGUCCCUGCCUGCCAGCCCCCCUGACCUAGUGGUAAGAGUAUUGUGUUAUAGGCAUUAGAGUUUCGGUUCAAUCCCAAGCAAUUCCAUUCCUCAUAUCUAAUUUUCGAAAUAAUUAGGCAUAAUGAAUUAUUUGGCCCUCCAACUUCACAAUAUAAAGUAGUUUUAUUUUUUCAUUUAUUUUUUCCUCUUUUUUAGCUCUUGAAUUUGCAUGGUUUGUCAAAUCACCCAAAAAUGAGUGGAAAAGUUAAUGUUUGCUAACUUUAUUGAUGUGGCAGUAAAAUAAUUAAAUGAAUGACUAAAAUGAUUUUUUUAUAAAGUUGAAGGGCUAAAAAAAUUAUUAUGCCAAAAAAUUAAUAUAUGUAAUGUUUUAAUUAAUUUCCAACUGUUUAGUAGUUAAAUGCUUUUUUUUAUUAAACAAUAUUAGUGGAGAGGAAUAAUUUUUUACUUAAAUAAUAUAAAAUAAAUAAAUAAAUACCAAAAUAUAUAGGAUAGGAAAAAUAUUAAUUACCGAAAUAGGCAUUUAUUAUAGUAACCCGUUGUUGCUGUUUGACCAAUCGGCGGCAUCACUCUCACUUCCCCCAAUCAUUGUGGCAUGAUUAGUUUUUUUUUUAAAGAAUUUUUUUUGAGCUGCCUCAGUAAAAUAUUUUUUUAGUUGGUAAAUUAAUAAUUUAGUUUUUUUUAUUAGAUGAUUAAAUGUUAGCGCUUGUAUCCUUGAGUUCCGGGUUCGAUUUUUUUUCACUCACAUUUGUAUUUGUUAUUUCAUGUUGUUUAAAGCUUUUUAUGUAUUUAUUUUUAAUUAAUAUUUUUAACACAUUAGCUUUUUUAAUUAGAUGGUUAGAUAAUUGUGAUUUAAUUCUUGAGUCUCAAGUUUGAUUUUUCUUAUAAAUAUUUUAAUAUGUAUUUUUUUAUUUCAUGUUGUUUCAAGCAAUUAAAAAAAAUUUCUUGCAACAACAUGAAAUAAAAAUUCAUAUUAAAAUGUUUAUAAGAAGAAGCAAACUUGGGAGUCAAGAAUGAAAUCACAAUUAUCUAAUCAUCUAACCAAAAAACUAUUAUAUUAACUAAAAAUAUAUAAUAAAAAAAACUUAGAAUCACCAAAUUGGGUAUCCCUUCAACAAGCAACAACAAGAAAUAAAUGAAUAGCUAAGUUUUGCAUGCAUGUAAAUUUAGCCUGUUUUGGGUUAUUGGACUUUAAUUGACUUUAUUUAUCAUAGUUUUUGGUGGGGUUUGGGUGAAUAAGAUACUUAGUUUACAAGAAACCCAAAGUGAAAAGAAGAAGGAAAUAGAUGCCACAAAUUAAAUUAAGUGAUUGGCUAAUGUUGAAGGUUUUACUUAUUUCAGGUGAGCUACCCAAACCCAUAAAGGUGAUGUUGGUGGCCUGGCCUUACCCUAUCUUCCCCACUUUUGACAGCUAAAAAUAAAAAUAAGGUAGUUGGGAGAAAACUAAAACAAUUGGCUAUAUAAACUAAUAAAUUCCAUUUUGGGGGGCUAUGUUUUAAUGGAACAACACAAUUAAUCCCAAGUUGGGUCAUCCAAUUUUAACUUAUAGAACCCUAAUCUUGAUUUUUUUGAAGUUAUGUUUAUCAAACCAAGCUAUCAUUUUUUAUGGUUUCCUUUGAUUUAACGAAAUAGUUUCUUAAAUGUUUUUGGUUUAAAGAUUAUGCUUAACAGAUGCGUUUGGGAAAGGUGGGCUUAAUUUAAUGUCCCACACAAAACCUGACCUUUUUAAUUUUUUAGGAAAAAAAAUUUAGUGUUACUGAUGGAUGUUUCGAUAGUAUUAAUUGCUUAAUAUAAAUAUGUUGUUUAAUAAUAUUAAAUGCUGAAUAUCAAAAUAAUUUAUAUUUUUAAUUUUAAUUUUAUUUUCGUCCUACUAUUUCAUAUAAAAUCAUUUUUUGGACUCAUCAUCCUCGGCACUGAAAAAAAAUUUGUUAAAAUUCCAAAACACAAGUCAUCCAAUAAAAAAAUUCGAUUGAGUCUUAACUCGAUUAAUAUGAGUAUUGUUGUCAAUAUAGGAGGACAUGUGUUUGAGUACACUGAAACACAUUAUCCUCCUAUUUAUGGGUUGGGGAGGGACUAUGGGUAGUUCUAAGCAUUGUGUCAAAAAAAAAGAUAUGACCAUAAUCUAUAAUGAGAUUGUUCAACAAAUUUUUUUAUCGAGUUUCUCUUUUUUUCUAUGUAUUUUUUUUAUUUCGUUGAAGCUAAAUUAUUUAUAGAUUUGAAAUGUUAUUAUUAUUAUUUGGAUUUAAACAUAAAACAUCUUUAUUGAGUUGGUGUCACAAAUCAAUCAAAUCCCAAUUUAAUUAGAAAAAUUACUUUAAUAUCUUUUUGUUAUUAAAAAAAUCAUUAAAAAUAUGCAUAUGAUGAAAUUUAAACUCAUAUCGAUUGAGUUAGUAAAACUUUAAAUUUAUUACUCAACCAAUAAAUCAUUGUUAAGUACAUCUCAGUAUUCUGAGUGGUGAAUGGUGGAUUUUCAUUCUCCUCCAAUACUCUGAUAAGGACUCAAAAAGAGUUCCAAUUCUUGAUUCUAAAGAGUUUCAAGGACACAACGAAUUUCUAGUUAGCGGAGUUGAGAAAGAACAGCGUAAAGAUAGAGCUGACUUGCAUCUGGCAAUUUCUAUAGUUCUAUUUUCUUCUUUGAUUCUGAAAAUAACGGUUAAAGGCCAAGAAAUGCAAGAACAGUUGCUUGCUAAGUUUAGCUGCUUUUCAUCACUGUUGAUCUUAUUUGUAAUCUAGUGUUGUACCCUCUAGAUCCAGUUUUGCACUUCAAAUUGUGCUUGAUAUUUCUGCUUUUGUUUUAACUUGAUGUAAGGAAUAAUGGCAAUUGUUUUGGUACCAGGACCACUGGACCAAGGUGGUUGUUUCUAAAUCUAGCAGGCUUCUGUGAGGGUCGAGAAUUUUGUUAUAAAUCAAUAAAUUGAAAAUAGGCUGCCUGAAUUUGAUAUGUCAUUAGCCGCUAACUUGAUCUUGUUACAGCCCUCCUUACUCCUAUUUCUGCUUUCCCUCCCUUCGGUGAAACAAAAAAGCAAGUUAUUAUCAUGUAAUUACUAGAUAAUAUGUAAGUUGAUUUCUGCAAGAAGAUAGUUAUCUUUAUUUCUAAAUUUUCAUUUCUUUCCUAAAAUGAUUCUAUGCAGUCAGUUGGUAAGUUCAUUCAGAUACUGAUUUUCAACGUCCAAGUAUUCUGACAUUUAAAUUUGUCUUAGUACUAUCACCCAAAAUUUAUGGUUCUUUUCUAUGAUAAAAUUUGUGUUUGAUUAAAUUUUCAGGUUCUUGUACCAAUUGCUGAUGGCUCAGAAGAAAUGGAAGCAGUUAUGAGCAAAGGCAAAUAUUGUGGUGGCCUCUGUUGGAGACAAUCUUGAAAUUCUGGCUUCUAGGAAAGUUAAAUUAGUGGCAGAUCUGCUUCUUGAUGAAGCUGCUAAACUUACAUAUGACCUUGUAGUCUUGCCAGUGUGUUGGAAUUCUGUCAUAUUCCCUAGUCCUAAUUCCUCCCAAUUUUCUUUCUUUGUAAUAUAUUUUAACUUGGUCUUUCCUAUCUACAGGGAGGACUUGGUGGUGCCCAAGCAUUUGCUAAAUCUGAUAAGCUGGUGAACUUGUUAAAAAAGCAAGCGGAAUCAAACAAACCCUAUGGAGCUAUAUGUGCCUCUCCAGCUUUGGUGUUGGGGCCUCAUGGUUUACUCAAGGUUGUUGAAACAAUUGAAAAUUCAUCGUAUAUUUACUGCACCAGUCUAUUAUACAUUUAUAGACUUAGUUAUCAAACUAACUAACUCAUACAUAACUGAUACUAACAACUUUGCUAACCACUCUGCUAUUUGCUAACUAAUUUACUUCUCAACACUCCCCCUCAAGUUGAGGGUUGAUACAUAUCUUUAACCCCUAACUUGGAUACUAAGUAUUCAUGUUGCUUUAUGCUUAGAGCCUUUGUCAUUAAAUCCGCAAGCUGCUCAGUUGUCUUAAUAUGCUGCAUCUGAAUCGUUCCAUCCUUGAUUUUAUCACGCACUAAAUGACAGUCUAUCUUUAUAUGCUUUGUCCGUUCAUGGAAAACAGAGUUAGCUGCAAUUUGCAGUGCUGCCUUACUAUCCGACAAAAUCAAAGCUUUAUCAAACUGACUAGGAUUCACUUCUCUCAACAGACCAUUCAACCAUACAACCUCUGCUACAACCACUACCAUACUCCUAUAUUCAGCUUCUGCUGACGAUCGAGAGACUGUGGUUUGUUUUUUUUGACUUCCAUGAAACAAGAGAAUCCCCAAGUUUAACACAAAAACCAGUCACUGACCUCCUUGACAUAGGACAUGAAGCCCAAUCAGAGUCACAAAAAGCCAUCAGCUGCGGCUUGCUUGCUGCAGACAAAAAAAUACCUUGACUAGGUCUUCUCCUUAUGUACCGUACACGAAAGGCAGCCUCCAAAUGAGAUUUCUUUGGUUUAUGCAUGAACUGACUUAGAUGUUGAACUGCAAACAUAAUGUCUGGUCUUGUAUUUGUCAGAUAUAGUAACCUUCCCAACAACCUUUGAUACAUCGAAACAUCUGCAAUUAAACCAUCUUCUUCAAUUUUUGUUUGUACAGACUCAUCAUAUUCAACUGAAGUGAGUUUCUGAUUCUGCUCAAGUGGUGUACAUACUGACUUUGCUUCCCCUAAUUCUAGAUCAGCUAUCAACUCUAAAGCAUACUUCCUUUGAUUCAAUAUAAUCCCCUUGUUUGAUCUCAUCACUUCUAUUCCUAGAAAAAACUUCAACACACCUAAAUCUUUCAUCUUAAAUUUUUGAUGUAGAAUUUGUUUCAAUUCAUUUAUCAUAUCAACACUACUGCCUGUAAUUAACAGAUCAUCUACAUAGAUGAGUAAGAUGACGAUGUUACCUGUACUCCUUCUUGUGAACAAGGAAUAAUCAUAUUUACUUUGCUCAUAUCUUCCUCGUAUUAAGGCCUCAGUAAGCUUUAAAUUCCACUGUCGAGAAGCUUGUUUCAGACCAUAUAAUGACUUACGCAGUCAACAUACACGAGUCUCCCCCUGGCUGCAAAAACCAUCCGGAAGUUCCAUAUAAACUUCUUCAGACAAGUCCCCUUGAAGAAAAGCAUUGUAAACAUCCAUCUGAAAAAUAGGCCAAUCAUGAAUGGCUGCCAGACUAAUCACAGUCCGAACUGUUACAUGUUUAACAACAGGGGAAAAAGUUUCAUGAAAAUCGAUUCCAGCCUUUUGAUUAUAACCUUUCCCAACAAGACGAGCUUUAAAACGCUCCACGGAACCAUCAGCAGUAUAUUUAAUUUUAUACACCCAUUUGCAGCCAAUAGGGACAACACCAGCAGGUAAAGAAACAACUUCCCAUGUACCAUUAGCCUCCAAAACUUGAAUCUCUUGUUGCAUAGCAUCAACCCACCGUGGAUCCGAAAUGGCCUCAUUAUAAGUGUGGGGUUCAACCAAGGAAGAAAUAUGAGCAGUAAACAAACGAGUAUGAAGAGGCAAAUGAGAAGAAGAAUAGACAUUGGCAAUAGGAAACAAACCUGUAGCAGAAGAUGUGAACGAUUGACUAGAGCAGACAUAAUCUUGCAUCCCAGUAGGCGGCUUGACAGACCUUGUAGUACGGCGUAAUGAAAUGCUAGUAGGUGUUGGAGGUAGAGAGGACGAAGAGGCUGGUAUGCAAGGUGAAGAGGGAUUAACAGGUAUAGAAGAUGAAGGUGAAAUAGAGGUAACCGGUAUAAAGGGUGAAGGAGAUAUAGAGGUAACAGGUAUAGAAGGUGAAGCUACAGGCUCAAGUUGAAGAAAAACAGAAGACUCAGUAUCAGGAAAAGGCAAAAAACGCAUUGUAGGAAAAGUAAAUGGGAAUACUGUUUCAUGAAAAACAACAUCACGAUUAACAAAAAAGGUUUUGGUUUCAAGAUUAAACAAUAAGUAUCCCUUUUGUACAAGUGAAUAACCCAUAAACACUGAAGGAAUAGCUUUAGAAGAAAACUUAUCACGAUAAUUAGGAGUAGUGGCAUAUGCAAGACAACCAAAAACUUUUAAGCGAGAAAGAUCAGGAGGCUUAUUAUACAAAAGUUCAUAUGGACAUUUCCAGUUCAAAAUAGGAGUAGGAAGACGGUUAAUUAAAAAACAAGCAGUCAAAACACAUUCGCCCCAAAAUUUAGUAGGCACGUGAGACUGAAAUUUUAACGACCUAGCCACUUCAAGUAAAUGUCUAUGUUUGCGUUCAGCAACUCCGUUUUGCUGAGGAGUGUGAACACAAGAACUUUGAUGAAUAACUCCAGACAUAGUAAAAAACUCAGCACACUCAUUUUUGAAGAAUUCAUACCCAUUAUCACUACGAACAAUUUUUAUAACAGUAGAGAACUGAGUUUUUAUCAAAACAAAAAAUUGUUUGAGAUAUAGAAGUGCAUCACUCUUUGACUGUAACAAAUAAACCCAAGUCAUUCGUGUGUAAUCAUCAACAAUCAUUAAAAAGAACCUAUGACCACUAUGAGUAGACACUCGAUAGGGUCCCCACAAAUCUAAGUGAAUAAGAAAAAAACAGCAUUAACACGAGAUUUAUGAACAGGAAAAGGAAGCCUCGUUUGCUUAGCUAAAGGACAAACAUAACAUUUAUGAAUAUUAUCCACAUUUGACUUUGUACAAAAAAAAAUUAGGAACCUUAUUUAGUCUUGAAACCGACGCAUGACCAAGUCUAGUGUGCCAAAGAAAAGACGAGUCAGCUAUAGCAACAGUAAUAACAGAGGAAGGUGAAACCACAGAAGUCUGUCGAGACGAAUCCAGGAUGUAAAGACCACCUCGUGCUUUACCAAUCCCCCUCAUCUUGCCACUGGAGAGAUCCUGUAUCAAACAAAAUUGGGGAUAAAAAGAAACCACACAAUUGAGAUCAGUAGCAAGUUUUGAAAUAGAAAGUAAAUUGUAAUGAAAGUUCGGAACACAAAGAACUCUCUUCAAUAAAAGAUUAGGCAAAAUUGAACACACUCCAACAUGAGUAACCGAAACAACAGAACCAUUUGGAAGUCGAACACUCGGUGACCCGAAUGCACAUGCAACAGGAGAUUCCAAGAAACGAAGAUCUGAUAGUAUAUGGUCAGUAGCUCCAGUAUCUAUAAUCCAUCUAUUGCCAAUAUCAGGCAUACCUGCUAAGCUGGCAGCAGCUUCAACCACAACAGGUUCCUUGUUUAACAGAUGCAAAAAUCUGAUUAUACUGCUCCUGCGUAAAAACUGGCGCUUGCAAACCAGACCCAAGGGAACCUACCACUUCACUACUACAAACAGAGUCAGGAGCAGAUACAUUAUUUACUACAGAAUUAUGCACUUCUUUUUUGUAAAUUUGAAAUCAGCAGGAUAGCCAAUCAACUUGUAACAUGUCUCCCUCUUAUGUCCUUUAACUUGCAAUGAUCACAAAUGCCAUUGAAUCUCUUCUUUUGUACCAUCUGGACUGAAGAGAAAGGGACCAAAUCAUCUCAGAUAGUACUAGAACUAUGAUUCCUUUGCGAUUCUUCUUGCAUAAGCAUCGAAUGCGCAGAUCUUCCCCAUCAAACGGCGCCGUUUCAUGCUUUAAAUAAAUAGAGAAAAAAAAGAAAAAAAACAUUUCAGUUUCAGUUUUAAAAAAAAAACAGAGAGUCCCUCUAAUCUCUCUCUCUCAGCCUUUCCAAAUCCGGCCAACAAGGCCAAUGCCAUGCACCGCCGUGACCGCCUUGGACGGUGGCCGUCGCUGUGCAUAGGGGCUACUUUAAGCCUCGUUUCAGAUCCUGUACGAAGGUCACGUUUUUGGUUCGAUGGCUGCGAAGAAAAAGCUUCCACCCCACCCUUAUGAGUCGACUUCAGUGACGGAGAGGCCUCCGACGACAUGACCGACGGGCGUUCCAAGUAUUUCCUUUUGCUCCUCUUAUUAAUAUGUUUUUUAAAAAAAAAUAGAUUUGUAAAAGAUAAAUAAAAUGAAUAAAUGAAUCGAAAGAAAAAGAUGAAAAACAACAACCUUUUGGUUCUCUUUCAAUUUUUAUUUCUUUGAUGUGCCUUUUUUACAUAGAAAAUCGAAGAAGCCCCAAAAUAUAAGCAGUGCUUGGGGCUUUUAUAACCCGAUUACAAACGCUUUAAUCUCUUUUUUGUUUUUUUUUUUACAUUGUUUUUUCUCUCUGCUGCGUGUUUAUUGCUCUUUGCAGGUGGUGUCAGAGCAUGCGGAUGAGGCGAUAGGCGAGCCGCGGCAGUGGCCAGGGGGCGUGCGGGGAGGCUGAGCGGCGCACAAGAGCAGAGGCUUGAAGACCUAGGUGCGGCGCACCUAGGUUUUUUCUUAGCUGAAAUGCGUUUAGUUUUUUUGUGGGCUAGGGUUUGUUUUUGUUUUGGGCCAUGGGCUAGAUUUGGGCUUGGGUUGUAAGCCCGGUCAAAUUUGGACAUUUACAAUAAGUUUGUUCAUUGUCGAAUACGCAUGAUUAACGCUUGGUAACGGACUCAUCAACAAAAUUUGGCUACGCACGCACUAUACGAGUCAUUCAAACCCAUAAGAAAUUGAAACAAAUGCUGUUGUUCAACAUGCUUAACAUUCUGCUUAGAUUGAGGACACCCACAAGCAAACGGAGGUACGAGGACAUCAUACUCAUCCCAGAGUAAUCUUAACUUGGUAAAGUAGGCAGAGAUAGAAAUAGUACCUUGAGAAGACGAGGUAAUUUCACGAUGCAAGAAAUAAAUUCUUGAACCAUCGAUUUUGUGAAACCUCUCACUAAGAUCACUCCACACUGCUGCUGCACUGGACGCAAAUACAAUCCUUGCGGAGAGUUCUUUGCUGACCGUAUUCAGAAUCCAAGAUAGCACAAUCGCAUUGCACCGCUCCCAUUGAUAACCCAUUUCUUCCGGCCACAUAUCUUUGGAACAAGUUCCGUCCACAAAUCCCAAUUUGUUUUUUGCUAGUAAUGCGAUUUUCAUCGUUCUACUCCAGACGUUGUAGUUCUCAACACCAAGCAACUGAUGUGCUACCAACAAAGUGCCCGGAGAAUCAGAAGGAUGCAAGUAAAGCGGAUGAUUGAAAUCGGUGAUUGAAUCGGAGAUACUCAUUGUCUUUGUUACCACGAACCAAAAAACAAGGAAAUACAGACUGAAAAUGCCCUAGAUUAACAGCCCAAUUUUGUUGAAUCAAGCAGACUUGGGCAACAAAUGCAGAGAAAUCAAAGCAACAAGAAUCGAACGCAGCAACCAAAAAAAAUAAUCACAGCCGCUGAUUUAACAAUUCAUCGGAAAUUUUGACACUUUCCGUACCUCUGAUACCAUGUUGAAACAAUUGAAAAUUCAUCAUAUAUUUACUGCAGCAGCCUGUUAUACAUUUAUAGACUUAGUUAUCAAACUAACUAACUCAUACAUAACUGAUACUAACAACUUUGCUAACCACUCUGCUAUUUGCUAACUAAUUUACUUCUCAACAAAGGUAUAAUCUUGAUCGAGUUUAACAUUUUCAUGUUUUCAUUAAAAAAUUUGCAUGGAAUUGUACUUGUUUGUCUUGUUCGUAAAAUAAAUGAUCAACUUAAUUAAAAGAACCAUAAUCUGCCUCUGGGGAAGUAGUCUCUGCGUCUCUGGAGGCUUUUGAUUAAAUAAUUUCAACUACUAUAUACAUUAGAACUUAUCAUUUGGCAAUAUGGUCACUACAUCAUACAAACUGUUUAGUUUGUAUCAUUUGCUUUUGCCUUUAAACUUUGAACUUUCACUAUUGUGCUUGCACUUGCUUUUAUUUUUUGAUUACAAGUGACAAGUUUGUGUGUGUGGUUCCUGUAAUUAUAUCUGUUUCAAACAUUUCGAUCUCGAGUGAAAAAAGAACAGCACUCAAAAGAAAUUUUCUAGUAUUUGAUAUUCCCGGAUGGUUAACAGUCGUUUUGUGCUAUGGUCCAGGGGAAAAAGGCCACAGCUUACCCUGCAAUGUGCGACAAGCUAUCAGAUCAAAGUCAUAUUCACAACAGAGUAGUGGUGGAUGGCAACCUCAUUACAAGCAGGGGCCCUGGAACUUCCAUGGAGUUUGCACUAGGAACCGUGGAGAAGUUUUUCGGACGCCCGAAAGCCUUAGAGCUAGCAAAAGCACUGCUUGUUGUACGCCAGUAGAUGAACUAGUAUGAGUGUUUGGUCCUGCCCAUAUUACCGUAUAGCCUGCUAUGAGACGAUAUAUGAGACUAUAGAAGGUGAGUUUGAAUUCACUCUGCGGUUUUAUGUACGAUAAGUUUGUUCCUUGUCGAUAAAUAAAUGAGUGUUGGAACAAGCUGAGCAACAUGAACAGUUGAACACCUUUGGUUCAUCUGUGAUGGCAUCCUUUGUCAAAUAAUAGUGGUUUUAAUUCC